AUUUAACGCUGGCGGCAUGCUUUACACAUGCAAGUCGAACGGUAACAGGCCUCAAGGUGCUGACGAGUGGCGAACGGGUGAGUAAUGCAUCGGAACGUGCCCAGUCGUGGGGGAUAACUACUCGAAAGAGUAGCUAAUACCGCAUACGAUCUAUGGAUGAAAGCGGGGGACCGUAAGGCCUCGCGCGAUUGGAGCGGCCGAUGUCAGAUUAGGUAGUUGGUAGGGUAAAGGCUCACCAAGCCAACGAUCUGUAGCUGGUCUGAGAGGACGACCAGCCACACUGGGACUGAGACACGGCCCAGACUCCUACGGGAGGCAGCAGUGGGGAAUUUUGGACAAUGGGCGCAAGCCUGAUCCAGCAAUGCCGCGUGCAGGAAGAAGGCCUUCGGGUUGUAAACUGCUUUUGUACGGAACGAAACGGCUCUGGUUAAUACCCGGGGCUAAUGACGGUACCGUAAGAAUAAGCACCGGCUAACUACGUG
RNAcentral lists this ribosomal RNA (482 nucleotides) under uncultured bacterium. RNAcentral describes it as "partial 16S ribosomal RNA". It matches the Rfam family "Bacterial small subunit ribosomal RNA", at positions 30 to 507 of the family's 1533-position model. The record is from RNAcentral.